CGCGAGAGCAAGCGGACCUCAUAAAGUGCGUCGUAGUCCGGAUUGGAGUCUGCAACUCGACUCCAUGAAGUCGGAAUCGCUAGUAAUCGUGGAUCAGAAUGCCACGGUGAAUACGUUCCCGGGCCUUGUACACACCGCCCGUCACACCAUGGGAGUGGGUUGCAAAAGAAGUAGGUAGCUUAACCUUCGGGAGGGCGCUUACCACUUUGUGAUUCAUGACUGGGGUGAAGUCGUAACAAGGUAACCGUAGGGGAACCUGCGGUUGGAUCACCUCCUU
This 277-nucleotide ribosomal RNA is filed under the name Escherichia coli. RNAcentral's name for it is "partial 16S ribosomal RNA". It matches the Rfam family "Bacterial small subunit ribosomal RNA", at positions 1256 to 1532 of the family's 1533-position model. The record is from RNAcentral. Lineage: Bacteria; Pseudomonadati; Pseudomonadota; Gammaproteobacteria; Enterobacterales; Enterobacteriaceae.